RNAcentral lists this ribosomal RNA (484 nucleotides) under uncultured bacterium. Its description in RNAcentral is "partial 16S ribosomal RNA". It matches the Rfam family "Bacterial small subunit ribosomal RNA", at positions 29 to 507 of the family's 1533-position model. The record is from RNAcentral.
AUUGAACGCUGGCGGCAUGCUUUACACAUGCAAGUCGAACGGCAGCGCGGGCUUCGGCCUGGCGGCGAGUGGCGAACGGGUGAGUAAUACAUCGGAACGUGCCCAGUAGUGGGGGAUAGCUCGGCGAAAGCCGGAUUAAUACCGCAUACGACCUGAGGGUGAAAGCGGGGGAUCUUCGGACCUCGCGCUAUUGGAGCGGCCGAUGGCAGAUUAGCUAGUUGGUGGGGUAAAGGCCUACCAAGGCGACGAUCUGUAGCUGGUCUGAGAGGACGACCAGCCACACUGGGACUGAGACACGGCCCAGAUUCCUACGGGAGGCAGCAGUGGGGAAUUUUGGACAAUGGGCGAAAGCCUGAUCCAGCAAUGCCGCGUGUGUGAUGAAGGCCUUCGGGUUGUAAAGCACUUUUGGCGGGAACGAAAAGGACUGUGCCAAUACCACGGUUCGAUGACGGUACCCGCAGAAUAAGCACCGGCUAACUACGUG